Molecule: ribosomal RNA, 492 nt
Filed under: uncultured Gammaproteobacteria bacterium
Lineage: Bacteria; Pseudomonadati; Pseudomonadota; Gammaproteobacteria
Description: bacterial SSU rRNA
Rfam family: Bacterial small subunit ribosomal RNA
Source: RNAcentral
AACGAACGCUGGCGGCAGGCUUAACACAUGCAAGUCGAGCGGCAGCACAGCAGUAGCAAUACUGUGGGUGGCGAGUGGCGGACGGGUGAGUAAUGCAUCGGGACCUACCCAGACGUGGGGGAUAACCUCGGGAAACCGGGACUAAUACCGCAUACGUCCUACGGGAGAAAGCGGGGGACCUUCGGGCCUCGCGCGGUUGGACGGACCGAUGUGCGAUUAGCUAGUUGGUAGGGUAAUGGCCUACCAAGGCGACGAUCGCUAGCUGGUCUAAGAGGAUGAUCAGCCACACUGGGACUGAGACACGGCCCAGACUCCUACGGGAGGCAGCAGUGGGGAAUAUUGGACAAUGGGCGAAAGCUGAGUCCAGCAAUGCCGCGUGUGUGAAAGAGGCCUUCGGGUUGUAAAGCACUUUUAUCAGGAGCGAAAUACUAUCGGUUAAUAACCGGUGGGGCUGACGGGACCUUGAGGAAUAAGCACCGGCUAACUUCGUGC